AACGGUCUAUACCUGCGGUACCUGCGGAGGGAUCAUUAUCAAUUUACAGCGGACUUCGGUCCUGUCUGCACCCUUGUCUUUUGCGUACUAUAUGUUUCCUCGGUGGGCUUGCCUGCCGAUAGGGCACUUAUAAACUCUUUUGUAAUUGCAAUCAGCGUCAGAAAACUAUAAUAGUUACAACUUUUAACAACGGAUCUCU
RNAcentral lists this unclassified non-coding RNA (199 nucleotides) under soil metagenome. RNAcentral's name for it is "partial contains 5.8S ribosomal RNA, internal transcribed spacer 2, and large subunit ribosomal RNA". The record is from RNAcentral.